GACGAACGCUGGCGGCGUGCUUAACACAUGCAAGUCGAGCGGAAAGGCCCUGCUUUUGUGGGGUGCUCGAGUGGCGAACGGGUGAGUAACACGUGAGUAACCUGCCCUUGACUUUGGGAUAACUUCAGGAAACUGGGGCUAAUACCGGAUAGGAGCUCCUGCUGCAUGGUGGGGGUUGGAAAGUUUCGGCGGUUGGGGAUGGACUCGCGGCUUAUCAGCUUGUUGGUGGGGUAGUGGCUUACCAAGGCUUUGACGGGUAGCCGGCCUGAGAGGGUGACCGGCCACAUUGGGACUGAGAUACGGCCCAGACUCCUACGGGAGGCAGCAGUGGGGAAUAUUGCACAAUGGGCGGAAGCCUGAUGCAGCAACGCCGCGUGCGGGAUGACGGCCUUCGGGCUGUAAACCGCUUUCGCCUGUGUCGAAGCGUGAGUGACGGUAAUGGGUAAAGAAGCACCGGCUAACUACGUG
RNAcentral lists this ribosomal RNA (468 nucleotides) under uncultured bacterium. Its description in RNAcentral is "partial 16S ribosomal RNA". It matches the Rfam family "Bacterial small subunit ribosomal RNA", at positions 28 to 507 of the family's 1533-position model. The record is from RNAcentral.